GUAACAUGUCCUCCCCAUCCUACUUUAGUUUUUCCAUAAAUAAAUUAGGUAACUUGGCAUUUGACUGGACUAUUCUUUUUUAAGCAAUUUUAUUAAUUCAAGCAGAAGAUAUUAGGGAAAUAGAAGGCAAAGGAAAGCAAAGAAAAAAAUACGAGUUUGAAUGAGCUUUGGCGUUCAAUAACAAGGAAAAGGAAAUAAGCAUUUUUAAUUUGCAAAUCACAUAACCAGCCAAAGUAGGUGGUCCAAGAUUAAAGACAAAUGUGGACAAGGUUAGUCAAAGGAUUAAACUGAAUGUUU
This 297-nucleotide long non-coding RNA is filed under the name Bos taurus (domestic cattle). RNAcentral describes it as "long non-coding RNA NONBTAT013684". Lineage: Eukaryota; Metazoa; Chordata; Mammalia; Artiodactyla; Bovidae. The record is from RNAcentral.